UGGGGAAUUUUGCACAAUGGGGGAAACCCUGAUGCAGCGACGCUGCGUGAUUUAGAAGGCCUUCGGGUUGUAAAAAUCUUUUCUAUGGGAAGAAAAUGACAGUACCAUAGGAAUAAGGACCGGCUAAUUACGUGCCAGCAGCCGCGGUAAUACGUAAGGUCCGAGCGUUGUCCGGAAUCAUUGGGCGUAAAGGGUACGUAGGCGGGUAAGCAAGUUAGAAGUGAAAUCCUAUAGCUCAACUAUAGUAAGCUUUUAAAACUGCUCAUCUUGAGGUAUGGAAGGGAAAGUGGAAUUCCUAGUGUAGCGGUGAAAUGCGCAGAAAUUAGGAGGAAUACCGGUGGCGAAGGCGACUUUCUGGCCAUAACCUGACGCUGAGGUACGAAAGCGUGGGUAGCAAACAGG
This 402-nucleotide ribosomal RNA is filed under the name bacterium. Its description in RNAcentral is "partial 16S ribosomal RNA". It matches the Rfam family "Bacterial small subunit ribosomal RNA", at positions 355 to 776 of the family's 1533-position model. The record is from RNAcentral.